This is a long non-coding RNA of Pundamilia nyererei, 468 nucleotides long. RefSeq lists it as uncharacterized. The record is from RefSeq and is a predicted model, not a curated record. Lineage: Eukaryota; Metazoa; Chordata; Actinopteri; Cichliformes; Cichlidae. The transcript is spliced from 2 exons.
UUGGGUCAGCGUGUACACAUAAGGAAACAUGGCCUGCACAUCACAGUCUGCGUUAGACUGGGUCACGAGUGCCAAACGCCAUCUUAUAAGCGGAUUAAAGGAUCUCUCUGUGAUUUUGGAGAACUUGAAUCAGAAAGGUGUUCUUGGUGAUGAAGAGGUCAGCAAUAUAAAGGCAGAGAAAACUGAUGAAGAAAAAAUAAGAACAACACUGAUCUCAGUCACAAAAAAAGGAGAAGCAGCCUGCUAUGAGUUACUCAAGAUUAUCGACAGGACAAGGAAGAGGACUUUAGAGAAACUGCUUCUUCCUCCUGAGAAAAACAGCGAUGCUUCCACUGAGAAAAACAAGUUUGAUCUGCAUCAUUGGAUCAGCUGCUUUUCCUUCAAGGAGGAGACUCAAGUCGAUACAAACUACUUACAAGGGCCAAGGUCAUGCCACAAAUAUCAAGGAAAGUUAAAGUCAAAAGCAAA